CCAAUAAUUAUUUUUAUAAAUCAAAAAAAUUUAUUAAUAUGUUUACUGAACAUAAGUAGUGGU
RNAcentral lists this transfer RNA (63 nucleotides) under Fusarium acuminatum CS5907. Its description in RNAcentral is "tRNA-Phe". The record is from RNAcentral. Lineage: Eukaryota; Fungi; Ascomycota; Sordariomycetes; Hypocreales; Nectriaceae.